CAAAGAGUGGCUGCAAUUAUCAAGGUUAUCAUCUGAAAUUUGAUAUUAUGAUCCCAUUUACCAAAUGAAAAUAAUUUCAAUGUAUAAUGAUCAUAAAGAUUUACUCGUAGAUUUUCAAGACCAUAUAGCGAUGGAGCACAGAAUUUUGUUGAACGAGCUCGUAAAAAAUGCAAUUCAGAAAUGAUAGUAUGUCCUUGUGUUAAGUGUAGGAAUCCAAUGCAUCAUCAUUAUGAUACAGUCUAUGAACAUUUGGUUAUUAAAGGUAUGGAUUCUACAUAUACUACUUGGGUAUUUCAUGGAGAGCAACUAGGUUCAUCAAAUCAGAAUGUUGUAGAAAUGCCUGAGUAGAGUAGGAUGUUUAAGGAUUUCUAUGCACAACAUGAUGUGGAUUCUAAAAACCGUCCUGAUGGAAGAGAUGAAGAGAUUGAAAGUGUAGUUAAUGAUGCUGAAACUCCUUUAUAUCCUGGUUGUAGGGCAUUUACAAAGAUGUCAGCUUUGGUUGCAAUGUUUAAGCAUAAAGCUUCACAUGAGUUAUCAGAUAAUGGUUUUGAUGAACUUAUAAAUCUUGUUUGAGACAUGUUGCUAGAUAAUAAUACACUUCCAAACUCAUUUUACUAGAUGAAAAAACUUGUCAAUACAUUUGAUCUUGGCUAUGAAAAGAUACAUGCUUGCCUAAAUGAUUGUUGUCUAUAUAGAAAGGAGUUUGAGCAUGCUGAAUUAUGUUCAAAAUGUGGUUGCUCGAGAUGGAAUAUUAAAAAAUGGACAAAAAAAAUUUAGAAAAAUAUCCCAGCCAAGGUCUUGCGUUAUUUUCCUAUAAUACCAAGACUGAAGAGGAUGUUUGGAAUAUAUGAGAUGUCAACACAACUUCGAUGGAACUCAAAUAAUAAAAGUUCAGACGGCAAGAUUAGGCAGCCAGUUGAUUCAUUGAGUUGGGAAAUGAUUAAUCGAAGGUGGCUAGAUUUUACAUCUGAUCCUCGAAAUAUUAGAUUAGGUCUUGCUACUGAUGGAUUUAAUCCUUUCAAAGAUCUUAGCUCUAAAUACAGUUGUUGGCCAGUAAUCUUAACUAUAUAUAACUUGCCUCCCUCAAUUCGCAUGUCAAAGGAAAGUUUGAUGUUGAGUUUAUUGAUCCCGAGACCAAAUCAGCCAGGUAAUGACAUAGAUGUUUAUUUGGCACCACUUGUAGAUGACUUAAUGUUGUUAUGGAAUGAUGGGGUUGAUAUGUAUGACGUUGUUACAAAGUCUACAUUUAACUUAAAAGCUCUUUUGAUGUGGACAAUACAUGAUUUUCCUGCAUUUGGAAAUAUAUCUGGGUGGCCCGUCAAAGGAAAAAUUGCAUGCCCCAUUUGUCGUGAGAGUACAUGUUCACUAUGGUUGAAGUAUGGUAGGAAGUUUGCGUACAUGGGACAUAGAAAAUUUCUCACGUUUGAUCAUCCAUUUCGCAUGAAAAAGAGUUGGUUUAAUGGACAUAUUGAACAUGGUAUUAGGCCACAAAUAAAAAAUGGUGAAGAAGAUUUUAUUGAAGUUGAUAAAAUUACAAACGACUGGGGAAAAAGUGGGAAACGGAAGAGGAAGAAGAAUACAACUCAAUCUGAUGUAACGUGGAAGAAGAGGUCAAUAUUUUUCAAUCUACAAUAUUGGAAGGUAAUUGUUGUGAUAUUUCCUUCAUUUUUAUUCAAUACUUAUAAUUGUGUGUAGUUUUUAUGACUCCAUUGGCGUUUGAUUUGCAGACUUUACUUGUACAUCAUAAUUUGGAUGUGAUGCAUGUGGAGAAGAAUAUUUGUGAAAGCAUCAUCAGUACACUUUUGGAUGUCAAAGGAAAAUCUAAAGAUGGCAUUAACUCUCGUAAGGACAUGGAAGAAAUGAAUAUUAGGCACGAUUUACAUCCUCAGAGUAGAGGAAAUAAGUUUUAUCUACCAGCUGCUCCUCACACCUUAUCAAAAGCAGAAAAGAAAAUAUUUUGCAAAAGGCUUGCUAACUUGAGAUUACCCGAUGGCUAUGGAUCUAAUAUUGGAAAUUGCAUAUUGGUGGAAGAAUGUAAGAUAGCUGGGUUGAAGUCUCAUGAUUGUCAUAUGUUAAUGCAACAAUUAUUAUCAGCUGCAUUGAGAGGGCUUCUACCUAAAGGAUCAAGGAAUUCCAUUUUUAAAUUGAGUUCAUUUUUUAAGGAAAUAUGUCAAGGAAUUGUAGAUAGAAAUAAGGUUGAAUAAUUAGGGUUGACAUUUCUGAAAGUUUAUGCAUGUUGGAAAGGUACUUCCUGUCUUCAUUUUUUGAUAUAAUGGUUCAUUUAACAAUCCAUAUUGGGAGAGAAGUUCGUCUAUGUGGACCAGUAUAAUAUUGUUGGAUGUACCCAUUUGAGAGAUAUAUGAAAGUGUUGAAAGGGUAUGUUAUGAAUCGUAGACGGCGUGAAGGGUGCAUAGCUGAACGACAUAUUGUUGAAGAAAAUGCGAAGUUUUGCAGCAAAUACGUAACACAAGCAUCUAAAAUAAGAUCUAAGCCUGUACGCAAUGAAGAAUAUGAGACUAAUUUCCUAGUUGCAGGGCGUACAAUUUCUAAAGGGAAGGCAAUAUACUAUCCAAUGAGAUGUUGAAAGUUGCUCAUCGCUACGUGUUACUGAAUACUACAGAAGUUCAACCAUACAUAGAGUACGUUUAUUAAAUAUAGAGUUCAAUAAUUUUAAGUAGUUAACCAUAUUUUUUGAUAUAUUUUAUUUACCUUAGGAUGCAUAUGGAUGAAUUGAAGAGUUUUAACAAACGACUCGAAAGAAAUGAGACUUUAUUGAACAAGAAGCACAUUGAUGCUUUUUGCUGCCUGGUUAGGUGAUAUGGUUGGAAUACACAUCAACAAAUAAAUGUCUCAAAGUUGUGCUAUUUGUUCUUUUAUUUCUAACAUUUUUAACAUAAUAACAGAUUCAAAUUCAGCUAUUGACGAAUAAAGUUUCGAACAAUUUGAAGUGGCUUGCACGUGGUCCUAGAUAUUAAUCAAUGUCAUAUUCUAGUUUUGUUAUAAAUGGUUUUCGAUUUCACACUAAAGAUGUAGAAAAAUCUCGUCAAAAUAGUGGCGUUUUAGUUGAAGCAAUGACCAUCUGUAGAUCUAGUGCAAAAGAUAAUGCACAAAUAGUUGGGCAAGUUCUUUAUUAUGGAGUUUUGCGUGACGUUAUAGUGCUUGACUAUAAUACGUUUCAUGUUUCAAUAUUCAAGUGUGAUUGGGUAAAUAUUGUGAACGGAAUAAAAAAGGAAGAUGGAUUCACUUUGGUUAAUCUUAACGAAGGACACAAACAAUUUGAAAAUGAUCCGUUCAUUUUGGCAACACAGGCAAAACAAGUAUUUUAUUCUAGGAAAAAUGAAACAUCUAGUUGGCAUGUGGCUUUGCAAGCGCCACAAAGAGACUCUGACGCAUCAGAUUUGGAAGAAGAUACUAAUUAUGAGGUAACUAUUCCACUAGAUAUAUCACAGCCAAUUAUAGACAACCAUGAUGAAGAUGACAAUUAUGCAAGGAUAGAUGUUGAAGGCGUACUAUGUGAUACGUAAAGUAGUUUGGUAACUCCCUUUUUGUAGACAACAUAUUUUUUACAUAAUGAUCAAUUUUUCUAGAAUAUUUUGACAUGUGAUUUAUCUAUCAAUUUAUAUUGCGAUGAAAUGUUGAAUAACAUCUAUUUGUUUUGAUGUUGUAGUUUUUUAUUCUAGCUCUAGAGAACCUUUUCAAUCCGAAAUACAUUUUGUACGAUGGACAAGACUCGGGUAAUUGUGUUUUCUUAUAAUACAUAAGAUAUAUGCUAAGUUUUGAAAAUAAUUUCAUUAAACUUAUGUUUCCAUGUUGUAUUCUCAAAGCCAACUAAACAAACUUCAAAGAGUUCUAAAAGAAGAAGAGCUUCAAUUGCUAAUGCAAUUCGGGAGACAAGUAAGAGACUAAACAAUUCUAGUGAACAAGACAAUAUUAUAACUAGUCCAACUAAUGAUGAGCAAACCACAUUACCAACAACUGUAAAUGCUCCAAAAAAGAAAAGAGGUCCAACACAAGUGAAGAUGAUUCCUGAACAUAAUUAUUAGAAGAUAAAUCUAGAAUUCAAUAAAUAUGGCCAAGUUGUUGGGCAGAAUUCGGAAAAAAUUUCUAGCGUAGUUGGGGCCAUGGUACGAGAACAUGUGCCUAUUGUAAUUAAAGAUUGGACUUCAGUGAAUGAAGAGACUAAAAUGGAGCUCUGGACUUUCAUACAUGUAAUAUUUCGUAACUACCUUUUGAGAUUAUUACGUUGUAUUUAUUUCUUUCUUAAUGAUACCAUUUUCUAAAGUCUUAAAUUCAUGCUUGUGCAUAAAUACAGCAAAGGUUCAAUGUCAGUGAUUGUCAUCAAAGAAUGACAUUUCAAUGUAUGGGAAAGUACUGGAGGACAUUCAAAUCAAGAUUGAGAAAACAAAUUAGAACUCAAGUUGAAUCAUCUAUGAAUAGAGCACGCACUAUUGAAUGUCAACUCUGAAGAAGUCUGGGUUAAAUUUGUUGACGAUACUCUUUCUGCUAAUUUUCAUGUACGUAUAUUUGCAUGUAAAGUUUAACCCUUAUUUUAAUUAUUGUUGUUUUAUACUUCAUUGUUUUUUCAAUAGGAGAGAAGUUCCAGGUUCAGCAACAUGCGAACUAAUUAGAAGCUUCUCCAUACUAUGGGUAGAAAGGGUUAUCCACGUGUGGCUUAUGAAAUGGUACUUCUUACGAACAUAUCAUGUCUUUUUACUUGAAUUGUCCAAUUUCAAUAUAUUUGAUUACUACAUUUGUACUGCAGAAGAAAAAGAAUCCACAUUUAAAAGGGUUAAGAAUAGAAGUAUGGAAAUAUGGACAUCUCAGAAAAGAUGGAAAACCAAUUAAUGAAGCAGUUGCCGAAACAUUGGUAUGUGUAUUAUACUAAUGUUCAAUUAAGCAUAAUUUGAUUUAUUAGUUGUAUCACUUGCUACUAUUUGAUUUGAGUUCCUUAAGUGCAGAAAAAGAUUGAAGAUUGUGCCACAUCAAUUUCCGAUAUGCUUGCAUAAGAUUCUAUCCGUGAUGAUGCUAUAGCUCGAGUUUUUGGUCCCGAACGCUAUGGAAGAGUUAGGGGACCCGGAUUUGGAGUUGUACCAUCAAAAGUGGAUGGAUAAAUACAAAGUAGUGGGAGAGCUAGAGAACUUGAAAGCCAAGUACAGAUUCAGGCACAAAGGAUGGGGGCAUUAGAAGAAAAAAUGGAGGUUUUCUCAGUAGGUUAUAAGUAGUUACUUUUUAUACAUUUUAUGAUUAUAUAGCUUUAUAUAGCCAAUUACAGGUAUAAUAACUUUUGUAAUUUUUGUAUUAUUAUACAAAAUGUGGAGGAUAGGAAUUCAAAUGCUUUUAAUCAGGUUUCCAUUUCCUAUAUUAUUAAAUGUUUAUUUAAUAUAUAUUCAAUUUGUAGCAUUCUAAUUUUAAAAAGAAUACUUUUUGUUUAUUAUGAAUUUGUAGUCACACCAAGGAAGUGGUGUCCAAAGAAGUACUACCCCCAAGACAAAUGCAAGAUGUCAACUGUUGCAUUGGUACAUGUUUGAGGAGGAAGAAGUCGUAGCAGAAGGGAAGAUUGCCACAAGAGAUCCAAGUGCAAAGGUGCAUCACUUGCCACUCGGUCGAGACUGUUGAAAGGUUUGGAUUGAGGAAGUCUAUGUGGGUAAUUUGACCCUAUACAGACCCACAUAUGAAUUCCGCACUCUUAGUGAAGCCAUGGAAAGUACUAUUGCUUGGUCAAAGAGUAGUAUUAGACUUCUUGAUUAAGGUAUUAGACUCUUAGUGGCAAUGGUAAGU
This 5778-nucleotide long non-coding RNA is filed under the name Olea europaea subsp. europaea. The record is from RNAcentral. Lineage: Eukaryota; Viridiplantae; Streptophyta; Magnoliopsida; Lamiales; Oleaceae.